AACGAACGCUGGCGGCAUGCCUAACACAUGCAAGUCGAACGAGACCUUCGGGUCUAGUGGCGCACGGGUGCGUAACGCGUGGGAACCUGCCCUUAGGUUCGGAAUAACUCCCCGAAAGGGGUGCUAAUACCGGCUAAUGUCUUCGGACCAAAGAUUUAUCGCCUUUGGAUGGGCCCGCGUUGGAUUAGCUAGUUGGUAGGGUAAAAGCCUACCAAGGCGACGAUCCAUAGCUGGUCUGAGAGGAUGAUCAGCCACACUGGGACUGAGACACGGCCCAGACUCCUACGGGAGGCAGCAGUGGGGAAUAUUGGACAAUGGGCUAAAGCCUGAUCCAGCAAUGCCGCGUGAGUGAUGAAGGCCUUAGGGUUGUAAAGCUCUUUUACCCGGGAUGAUAAUGACAGUACCGGGAGAAUAAGCUCCGGCUAACUCCGUG
Molecule: ribosomal RNA, 433 nt
Filed under: uncultured bacterium
Lineage: Bacteria
Description: partial 16S ribosomal RNA
Rfam family: Bacterial small subunit ribosomal RNA
Source: RNAcentral